RNAcentral lists this ribosomal RNA (448 nucleotides) under uncultured bacterium. RNAcentral's name for it is "bacterial SSU rRNA". It matches the Rfam family "Bacterial small subunit ribosomal RNA", at positions 329 to 794 of the family's 1533-position model. The record is from RNAcentral.
UUCCAGACUCCUACGGGAGGCAGCAGUGGGGAAUAUUGCACAAUGGGGGAAACCCUGAUGCAGCAACGCCGCGUGAGUGAAGAAGUCAUUCGUGAUGUAAAGCUCUAUCAGCAGGGAAGAAAAUGACGGUACCUGAGUAAGAAGCCCCGGCUAACUAUGUGCCAGCAGCCACGGUAAUACAUAGGGGGCAAGCGUUAUCCGGAUUUAUUGGGUGUAAAGGGUGCGUAGACGGAGAAACAAGUUGGUUGUGAAAUCCCUCGGCUCAACUGAGGAACUGCAACCAAAACUAUUUCCCUUGAGUGUCGGAGAGGAAAGUGGAAUUCCUAGUGUAGCGGUGAAAUGCGUAGAUAUUAGGAGGAACACCAGUGGCGAAGGCGACUUUCUGGACGAUAACUGACGUUGAGGCACGAAAGUGUGGGGAGCAAACAGGAUUAGAUACCCCCGUAAA